Long non-coding RNA from Papaver somniferum (opium poppy), 849 nucleotides. RefSeq lists it as uncharacterized. NCBI's taxonomy places the organism in Eukaryota, Viridiplantae, Streptophyta, Magnoliopsida, Ranunculales, Papaveraceae. The record is from RefSeq and is a predicted model, not a curated record. The transcript has 2 exons.
GUUGAAUUUGCUGCUGAGCAUGUCCUUCCACUACUGUUACCACUUCUCAUUGCAACAAUUGAAAGGUCACCACUUUGCUGAAAGAUAUCCUCAGGAAAAUAGAAGAAAAGCGAGGUGUUUCUGUGACUGAUUCUGGAACUCCCAAAAUUAGGCAACAUCUGUACUAAAUGGAACUCCAUCUCAACCAUCUGUGAAAACAAGCCAACCUGUUUCUUCUGCACAAAUAGACCAGCAUGGGAUGUAGAUUGCGGUCCCAUAAAAAAAGAGAUCAAUUUCCGCCAAUCGUCUGAAACUAGCUGACCUUGCGGGUUCCACAAGUCAACAGAUUCCUUCACCAUGUCCCUCAAUCGACUUAGAGUGGCCUCCUCGAGUUCAGGUGCUUCUCUCACUUAGGCGACAUUGAGAAACAGAAACCAAACACUGAAUCGUUUAGCCAAUUGGCCCCAAGAUCUAGUAACUUAUAAACUAGUUGGGGCUUUGCCUCAAAUAGUGCCAUGGGAUGAGCAAUGGAACUCUUUCUUUGAUGCAACUAAUCAGACCAUUGGGUGCAAGAGCACGCACAGUUCUUCAGGGUACUCACAUUUCUUCAGGGUGUUCAAGACAGAAUCAGGGUGCUCAAGACAGAAUCAGGGUACUCACAGUUCUUCAGGGUGCUCAAGACAGAAUCAGGGUACUCACAGUUCUUCAGGGUACCCCUUACUGGCCUGCGGAGAGGGGGCAAGACCCACCAAUUCAAAACGUGUGUGCUGGUGACGGAUUAAAUUACUUAUAUAACUCAAAAAGUAAUAAGAAGGUGUUUAGACUUUGGAACUGUAUAUAUCCCGGCUUGAAUAAAUUACUUUUCGACUU